AUUCGAUUAGAGUUUGAUCCUGGCUCAGAUUGAACGCUGGCGGCAGGCUUAACACAUGCAAGUCGAGCGGUAGCACAAGAGAGCUUGCUCUCUGGGUGACGAGCGGCGGACGGGUGAGUAAUGUCUGGGAAACUGCCUGAUGGAGGGGGAUAACUACUGGAAACGGUAGCUAAUACCGCAUAACGUCGCAAGACCAAAGAGGGGGACCUUCGGGCCUCUUGCCAUCAGAUGUGCCCAGAUGGGAUUAGCUAGUAGGUGGGGUAAUGGCUCACCUAGGCGACGAUCCCUAGCUGGUCUGAGAGGAUGACCAGCCACACUGGAACUGAGACACGGUCCAGACUCCUACGGGAGGCAGCAGUGGGGAAUAUUGCACAAUGGGCGCAAGCCUGAUGCAGCCAUGCCGCGUGUGUGAAGAAGGCCUUCGGGUUGUAAAGCACUUUCAGCGAGGAGGAAGGUGGUGAGCUUAAUACGCUCAUCAAUUGACGUUACUCGCAGAAGAAGCACCGGCUAACUCCGUGCCAGCAGCCGCGGUAAUACGGAGGGUGCAAGCGUUAAUCGGAAUUACUGGGCGUAAAGCGCACGCAGGCGGUUUGUUAAGUCAGAUGUGAAAUCCCCGGGCUCAACCUGGGAACUGCAUUUGAAACUGGCAAGCUAGAGUCUCGUAGAGGGGGGUAGAAUUCCAGGUGUAGCGGUGAAAUGCGUAGAGAUCUGGAGGAAUACCGGUGGCGAAGGCGGCCCCCUGGACGAAGACUGACGCUCANGUGCGAAAGCGUGGGGAGCAAACGGGAUUAGAUACCCUGGUAGUCCACGCUGUA
RNAcentral lists this ribosomal RNA (815 nucleotides) under uncultured Serratia sp. RNAcentral's name for it is "bacterial SSU rRNA". It matches the Rfam family "Bacterial small subunit ribosomal RNA", at positions 1 to 804 of the family's 1533-position model. The record is from RNAcentral. Lineage: Bacteria; Pseudomonadati; Pseudomonadota; Gammaproteobacteria; Enterobacterales; Yersiniaceae.